This is a long non-coding RNA of Myotis myotis, 1505 nucleotides long. RefSeq lists it as uncharacterized. NCBI's taxonomy places the organism in Eukaryota, Metazoa, Chordata, Mammalia, Chiroptera, Vespertilionidae. The record is from RefSeq and is a predicted model, not a curated record. The transcript has 2 exons.
UUUCUAGUAAAAUUUUUAAAAAAGAUUUAAAAAUCUAAAAAAAAAAAAAAGAUCCUAGAUUAUUGAGCAUUUGCUGUAUGCCAGGCACUGGGCUAAGUGCUUUACAUACAUUAUCUCCUUUAGUCUUCACAACAACCAGAUGAGACAGAUGCUAUUUUUUUUACUUCUACUUUGCUACUGAGAAAUGGAGACUAAGGUUAAUGACUGCCAAGAUCAUGCAGUAAGGAAGUGGGACAGAGCCAGGAUUUGAACUCCUGGACAGAAAGCCCUCUUUCCUCCAUAUACAGUUCUUCCUGCUUCUCAUGCCCCUUGACAAGCCCUCUAUCUGGUCUGCCUCCUCCCUCAGGAUGCCCUCCCUGAUUGGUGGUGAUGGUGGGGCAUAAGUCCUGCAUCCUCAGGUUAUUCUUCCUCCUGCCACCAGGAUGGGUAGGGGCAGGCUUUGUCCUGCACUGAGGACUCUGCUGUCCUUCAGAGAUGAAAACAAGGCUGUCUCAAGAGGUUUGGAGAGAGGAUACAUUAUGUUUUCUGUCUUCCUGCCUCAAUGUUUUCAUAGGGGCAUCAUCAGGAUAAAAUAGUGACAUCUGAGAAGUGGUUCACAGAGCACCUCCACAUGCACACAGUCAUUUGAGACACACCAUCACCCUGCAGAGUGGAAAAGCACGGAUAUUAGCCCAUUUUACAGAUGAGUAAACAAGACUUUGAGAGAUGAGGGACUUGCUCAAGGUUGCACAGUAGAGAGAAACAGCACUGGGACUGGGCUUUUCCCUGAGUCUUCGGGCAGUAAUCAAGGGCAGCAGAAAGGGUUCAGAGUUGUGAAAGGAUAACAUCUGCUGGGGGAGGAGGAGGGAAGGCCGCGGAACCCAGGAGAGGCUGAAGGAGGAGGUGUGGUGAAAGGGACUGGUGGCUUGCUGGGGGCAGCGCUGAUGUCAGUACUCACUGGAUGGCCCAUAGUUGUUAAAAUACUCAAGUACUUCCAUGCUGGUAAGCCAAGGGCUGCUGUCUGAGCCUUCUGCCUCCUUUCCCUAGGGCUACCCUGCUCCCCCAAAUCCAGCAACUGCAGGGGACAGUUAGCAUCCUGCUCAGCAGAGGACCUCUAAGACCCACCACCUUCCCAAUGCUCCACUCUGAUUGGUUGGUGCCCAUGCCAUUCUGGAUGGUCUGUGUUUCCAUGUUUCGACAAGCCUCCAAGAUGCCUCCCCUUGGCUGUCUCCCACUGACGCAUUUCCAAAGUGCUUCUGUUUAAAACUGAAUAUUGCUACCCUAGGAAACAACUCCCAGGAAACAACAACUUAACAAACAGGCUUCUCUUUCUAAGGAUUCAUUUCUGUCAGGGGCACCAUAGCCAAAGCAGUCUUUCAUACGGGAACCUUGGGGAGCAACCAUCCUUGGUCUCUGUGGAAGGGUUUCAGAGCUGUGAUCAUGCAUUUGCUUAAUCAGAAUGACCUUGGAAUCUUCUCUGUGAAGCAAGGACUGUUAUCUUAUCUAAUAAAAGACAAACAUGCAAA